RNAcentral lists this ribosomal RNA (285 nucleotides) under uncultured Chloroflexota bacterium. Its description in RNAcentral is "uncultured Chloroflexi bacterium partial 16S ribosomal RNA". It matches the Rfam family "Bacterial small subunit ribosomal RNA", at positions 28 to 310 of the family's 1533-position model. The record is from RNAcentral. Lineage: Bacteria; Bacillati; Chloroflexota.
GAUGAACGCUGGCGGCGUGCCUAAUACAUGCAAGUCGAACGCAGAGUUUCAUUUCGGUGAGGCUUUGAGUGGCGCACGGGUGAGUAACACGUAGCUGACCUGCCCUUCAGAGGGGGACAACUGCUGGAAACGGCAGCUAAUACCCCGUACGCUCGCGAGGACCAGAAGACUCGUGAGGAAAGCGGAAACGUGCUGAAGGAGGGGGCUGCGACCCAUCAGCUAGUUGGUAGGGUAACGGCCUACCAAGGCGAGGACGGGUAGGGGGCCUGAGAGGGUGACCCCCCA